RNAcentral lists this ribosomal RNA (465 nucleotides) under Vreelandella stevensii. Its description in RNAcentral is "partial 16S ribosomal RNA". It matches the Rfam family "Bacterial small subunit ribosomal RNA", at positions 338 to 795 of the family's 1533-position model. The record is from RNAcentral. Lineage: Bacteria; Pseudomonadati; Pseudomonadota; Gammaproteobacteria; Oceanospirillales; Halomonadaceae.
UCUACGGGGGGCUGCAGUGGGGAAUAUUGGACAAUGGGGGCAACCCUGAUCCAGCCAUGCCGCGUGUGUGAAGAAGGCCCUCGGGUUGUAAAGCACUUUCAGUGAGGAAGAACGCCUGGUGGUUAAUACCCAUCAGGAAAGACAUCACUCACAGAAGAAGCACCGGCUAACUCCGUGCCAGCAGCCGCGGUAAUACGGAGGGUGCGAGCGUUAAUCGGAAUUACUGGGCGUAAAGCGCGCGUAGGUGGCUUGAUAAGCCGGUUGUGAAAGCCCCGGGCUCAACCUGGGAACGGCAUCCGGAACUGUCAAGCUAGAGUGCAGGAGAGGAAGGUAGAAUUCCCGGUGUAGCGGUGAAAUGCGUAGAGAUCGGGAGGAAUACCAGUGGCGAAGGCGGCCUUCUGGACUGACACUGACACUGAGGUGCGAAAGCGUGGGUAGCAAACAGGAUUAGAUACCCUGGUAGUC